UUUUCGGUGACGAAAGGGUCUGAAGGAAGCUGAUGGCGGUUGUUGGAACGAAACGAGAGUGAACCAGUGUUGGCAUAUGUAGUGGAUAACCCUCCAAAAAGCGGGAACGUCCUAAAAUUAGCUUAGCUACAUGUGUUUAGAUGGUCGUUUUAACAACAGGCGGAGUAAC
Non-coding RNA from Clostridiaceae bacterium BRH_c20a, 169 nucleotides. The record is from Rfam. Lineage: Bacteria; Bacillati; Bacillota; Clostridia; Eubacteriales; Clostridiaceae.